This 492-nucleotide ribosomal RNA is filed under the name uncultured bacterium. RNAcentral describes it as "partial 16S ribosomal RNA". It matches the Rfam family "Bacterial small subunit ribosomal RNA", at positions 30 to 507 of the family's 1533-position model. The record is from RNAcentral.
AUUGAACGCUGGCGGUAGGCCUAACACAUGCAAGUCGAGCGGCAGAACGGUAAGUGCUUGUGCAUACGGCGGGGGAGGGGCGGGUGGGGGAUAGGAACAUCGCAAUCUACUGGUUAUAACGGGCUAACGUAGGGGCAAUUACCGCAAUACCGCUGACGGCCUACGGGGGAAAGCAUGGGACCUUCCGACCUUGCGCGAUCCAAUGAGGCUAUGUCGGAUUAGCUAGUUGGUGGGGUAAAGGCCCACCAAGGCGACGAUCCGUAGCUGGUCUGAGAGGAUGAUCAGUCACACUGGAACUGAGACACGGUCCAGACUCCUACGGGAGGCAGCAGUGGGGAAUAUUGGACAAUGGGCGAAAGCCUGAUCCAGCCAUGCCGCGUGGGUGAAGAAGGUCUUCGGAUUGUAAAGCACUUUAAGUUGGGAGGAAGGGCAGUAAGUUAAUACCUUGCUGUUUUGACGUUACCAACAGAAUAAGCACCGGCUAACUUCGUG